RNAcentral lists this ribosomal RNA (497 nucleotides) under uncultured bacterium. Its description in RNAcentral is "partial 16S ribosomal RNA". It matches the Rfam family "Bacterial small subunit ribosomal RNA", at positions 28 to 507 of the family's 1533-position model. The record is from RNAcentral.
GAUGAACGCUGGCGGCGUGCCUAAUACAUGCAAGUCGAGCGAACGGACGAGAAGCUUGCUUCUCUGAUGUUAGCGGCGGACGGGUGAGUAACACGUGGAUAACCUACCUAUAAGACUGGGAUAACUUCGGGAAACCGGAGCUAAUACCGGAUGAUAUUUUGAACCGCAUGGUUCAAAAGUGAAAGACGGUCUUGCUGUCACUUAUAGAUGGAUCCGCGCUGCAUUAGCUAGUUGGUAAGGUAACGGCUUACCAAGGCAACGAUGCAUAGCCGACCUGAGAGGGUGAUCGGCCACACUGGAACUGAGACACGGUCCAGACUCCUACGGGAGGCAGCAGUAGGGAAUCUUCCGCAAAGGGCGAAAGCCUGACGGAGCAACGCCGCGUGAGUGAUGAAGGUCUUCGGAUCGUAAAACUCUGUUAUUAGGGAAGAACAUAUGUGUAAGUAACUGUGCACAUCUUGACGGUACCUAAUCAGAAAGACACGGCUAACUACGUG